UACGGAGGGUGCAAGCGUUAUCCGGAUUUACUGGGUUUAAAGGGUGCGUAGGUGGGUCUGUAAGUCAGUGGUGAAAUCUCCGAGCUUAACUCGGAAACUGCCAUUGAUACUAUAGAUCUUGAAUUAUCUGGAGGUAAGCGGAAUAUGUCAUGUAGCGGUGAAAUGCUUAGAUAUGACAUAGAACACCGAUUGCGAAGGCAGCUGACUACAGGAACAUUGACACUGAGGCACGAAAGCGUGGGGAUCAAACAGG
Molecule: ribosomal RNA, 253 nt
Filed under: uncultured bacterium
Lineage: Bacteria
Description: partial 16S ribosomal RNA
Rfam family: Bacterial small subunit ribosomal RNA
Source: RNAcentral